AAUAAGAUCAUUUUCAGUUUCUAGAUACAAUUCUUGGACUCUUCGUCUUAUUUAAAUUUUUUUUUGCGAUUAAUAUUUUCAUUGUUACUAGACGAUAAAACAGGAAUAGUCCUUUAUGUGUGACCAAUUUUUUAAAGUUUUGUAUAAAUUUUUUAAAUAAGACGAAUGGUCAAAGCGUUGGAUACAAAAAUCGAAAAAUGAUGUUAUU
Molecule: microRNA precursor, 208 nt
Filed under: Oryza brachyantha (malo sina)
Lineage: Eukaryota; Viridiplantae; Streptophyta; Magnoliopsida; Poales; Poaceae
Description: MIR812 microRNA precursor family
Rfam family: MIR812 microRNA precursor family
Source: Rfam by way of RNAcentral